CCUACGGGAGGCAGCAGUGAGGAAUAUUGGUCAAUGGACGAGAGUCUGAACCAGCCAAGUAGCGUGAAGGAUGACUGCCCUCUGGGUUGUAAACUUCUUUUAUAUGGGAGUAAAAUGUUCCACGUGUGGGAUUUUGUAUGUACCAUAUGAAUAAGGAUCGGCUAACUCCGUGCCAGCAGCCGCGGUAAUACGGAGGAUCCGAGCGUUAUCCGGAUUUAUUGGGUUUAAAGGGCGCGUAGGUGGAUUGUUAAGUCAGUUGUGAAAGUUUGCGGCUCAACCGUAAAAUUGCAGUUGAAACUGGCAGUCUUGAGUACAGUAGAGGUGGGCGGAAUUCGUGGUGUAGCGGUGAAAUGCUUAGAUAUCACGAAGAACUCCGAUGGCGAAGGCAGUUCACUGGACUGCAACUGACACUGAGGCUCGAAAGUGUGGGUAUCAAACAGGAUUAGAUACCCUUGUAGUC
Molecule: ribosomal RNA, 460 nt
Filed under: uncultured bacterium
Lineage: Bacteria
Description: partial 16S ribosomal RNA
Rfam family: Bacterial small subunit ribosomal RNA
Source: RNAcentral